RNAcentral lists this ribosomal RNA (18 nucleotides) under Otidea formicarum. RNAcentral describes it as "partial 18S ribosomal RNA". Lineage: Eukaryota; Fungi; Ascomycota; Pezizomycetes; Pezizales; Pyronemataceae. The record is from RNAcentral.
UGCGGAAGGAUCAUUAAA